GUGAGCUGCAAGCCGGCGCCUGCAGCCGGAAGUUCCCAGCAAUUCCCAUAGGCAGUCAGGCAGGAUCCACGCCUUCCUUGGUUCUCCUGCCUCACGCGUAUUUUAGGGGAUGGGACAGGGACCUGCAUGAUAAGAUACAGAAUAAAAGGAAGACAGUAUAGCAUGAGCUGAAGACAGAUUUCUUAACCACAUCCAGUUAAGAGAAAAAGCAUUCUCCAACAGUGCUGACUCCACCUUCACACACACUUCCUCAAAAUCAGCCACGUUAAUAUGCACCAAGUGCUAAAUUAGAUAUAAUUCUUUAAACAGUGUAUCCUGAGUUUUAUUCUUCCAUGCUCAUUUCUGGGACUGUCACUAUUCCAGAUUUUCAAUGUUUUCUAAGCCUUCAGCACUGUGCCUAUGGGAUUUUGUUUUAUUUUUUAUUUAUUAUUUUUAAGAGAAUGAAACUUGCUUUCAAAGCACAGAACAGUGGCCUCUCCACCACCCACCACCCACCACCCACCUUCUAGCCUGGUGUUUCUGAAGGGAAGUUUGGCUGACACCAUGCUGGAACAGUUCCUCACUGAGUAAGAAAGUGUGACUCAUUGCAGGAGACUUAACAUAUCCAUCUCUGCACAUUAAGUACCAUUGGCUCCUGCAGGCUCCUAAAUGCCCUGUGGGCAUAAACUCUAGAAUUGCUGGAAGUGCAGUGACUUAUAGACAAUCUACUGUGCCUAUUCCAAAUGUGUCAAGUCUACAUCUACAUUAAAUCCACAAACUCGAGCCUCUGGGAUGGUGGUCCAGGAAUCUACCUCUGGUCCAUGGUCCAUACACCCAUGGCUUAAAACUGGAGUUAUUUAGUCAACUGUUUCUCUUAAGCUGAAACUCCUAGUGGUCUCCCUGACUAAGCAAUGUCCUAGACAUUCAAAUCAGACAGUUGGAAAGACCUAGAAAUUCUAUCGUCAUUUCCUUCUGAAACACAAGUUUAGGCAAACAGAAAGCUGGGGUGCCCUGAUAUUUUGUCCUCAAAUCGUGUCCGCCUGGUCAAGUCCUGGGCAAGGAAGACUGUCUUGAUUGCUACCUUACAAGAAUAUUGCGCUGGGGGUCAACUCGGGGCUCCAAGAUAAUUUCAAUAAAGCAUGAACAUCAGUGGUAGAAAACUUGGCUUAGCUAGAGAGUACAAGAUGACUGGAAAUACAGUGCAGGACAGAGGGCUGUGGGAUUAAUUUUUUCAUCAUCAUCACAACCAAAUACCUAACAAAAGAAACUUAAAGAAGGAGAGAUAGUGUUCAUAGUUCAUGGUUUACAGAUACUCUGUUUAUUAUGGCAAGGAAGGCCUUGGAAAUGAUAGGUCUCCAUAGCAGCAGGAUUAUAAGGAGCUGGCUAGCCAGUUCCUCCUACCUCCAGGCUAUGAACUUUAAAGACUUAUCCACAGUGACCCAGACAGACCUCACAUAUCCUAAUACAGCACUGCCAUCUCUCUGAGGACCAGUUACUCAAAUGCAUAAGCCUGAAGGAAGGGGAUUUUUGUGUUCAAAUUACAACAGAGGUCAUCCAGAGACCUAUUUCUACUUCAGAGCCCAUUUCAUAGGUCUAAGGUCUAAGAAGCCCCACCAACCUCAUCUAUGUGAUUUGCUUUUGUUGUGCCCUGUUUAUGUGGCAGGGUCUUACUUUAUAGCCCUGGCUAGCUUGGAACUCACUAUAUAGACCAGGCUGGCACCAUCCUAGCAAUUCCCUACAUCUACCUCCCAGGUGCUGGGAUUAAAGGCAUGUGGUACCACACUCAACCAUAGACACUAUUUUCUUAUUUUAAGCCAGAGUAGUAUUAGAUGCAUCACCGGGUCUCUGCCCAUGUGGCAGGUGACACAAUUCCCAGAGAGUUCCUUCUCACAGGGAAGAUCUUGAAAAUUCGACAGGAUAUGCAGAGUGAAGAGCAGAGAGGAAAGCCCUGCAUAUAUCCACCCAUCGGGGAAGAAUGGAGAUCUCCCUUUCAGCCUAUAGCUUUCAUUAAAAGAUCCCAGGGCAUUUCCAGGUUCUUGCUGAGCCUAAGAGUAAACUUUGAGAUAUAUGGUAAAAUCUGACAUGGUAAUAGAUUUUUUUUAAAGAAUAUUUUAUAUUUUAUUCUUUUAAAAUAGAGCAGCAUAGGACUAGGGGUUUGGCUCAGUCUGUAAAGUGAUUGUUAUACAAGCAUGAGGUCCUAAUUCUAGAUGCAGAGCAUCCACAAAAAUGCCAAGCAGAGAGAUAGCAACAGUGUUUGAAACACACACACACCAUACUCCUGUGUGCUCACGCAUCCACACAUGCACAUACUCACACACAAAUAUCAAAGAAGUCUAAUGAGGCACUUGUGCAUAUUAGGACCACUCCUUUAGAUCUUAGAAACAUCCCUAGCAGAGGGCAGCAUGAGUCCUUGGCAUCAGGGAGGGAGUCUCUAUACAUGGCCUCUCUUCUUCUUGACCCGAAAUUUCAUGGCCACAUCUCAGGCAUCCCUCGGAGCCUGCCAUAUUUGAAAAGUGCAGUCUGACUGUUCUGGUCUGGUGUUUUCUAUAUUCUCUGUGGCUUUUACAGUCAUGUUUUAUAGCCCCUAGCAAGUUCUAAUUGAUGUUUCUAGGCAAGCAAGAAUGAUCUAAAACAUAGCCCCAAAGAGCUGAGACUCUGCCCUCCUAACACUUGAGCCAGUCCCUGUGGCAUCUCAAGGGCCCAGGAUGAGAAAGACUUCCUAAUUUGGGAAAUUUCCAAAGCAACUCUCUUUCUCACACCCUGUUCUAUAAACCAUUCAAAGGCUCACAAUUCCACCAGACUUCUAUGGCUAUCACACAGAUGGGUAUGUUUACCUUUUGUUAGCAGAAAACCAGAAUAACAAUAGCACAGAUAAAGGAGACUUCUUUUUCUUACAUAAAAAAAAAGUGAGCCAGUGAUCCAGGACUCCCAGCCAUGGCUCACUGAGGCCAAAGCCCCAAACUCUUUCUAGUUUUCAGCUCAGCUCUUCCUUUUGUGUCAAGUUAGUUUUCAAGGUCACAGCACAGACGCUGAGUUUCCGGUCAUCAAAUAUUUAAGUUGAAGUUAGGAAAAAGAAAGGAAACUG
This 3064-nucleotide long non-coding RNA is filed under the name Mus musculus (house mouse). RNAcentral describes it as "long non-coding RNA chr19:22978755-22981819". The record is from RNAcentral. Lineage: Eukaryota; Metazoa; Chordata; Mammalia; Rodentia; Muridae.